This 52-nucleotide small RNA is filed under the name Leptolyngbyaceae cyanobacterium JSC-12. Its description in RNAcentral is "Oscillatoriales cyanobacterium JSC-12 Nitrogen stress-induced RNA 1". It matches the Rfam family "Nitrogen stress-induced RNA 1". Lineage: Bacteria; Bacillati; Cyanobacteriota; Cyanophyceae; Leptolyngbyales; Leptolyngbyaceae. The record is from Rfam by way of RNAcentral.
UGGUAGAUGCACCCUGAUUUAAUCCCUGGCUUAACCGUCAGGGAUUUUUUUA